RNA transcript from Sapajus apella (tufted capuchin), 1742 nucleotides. It is a transcript of the gene named RNA-binding protein PNO1 pseudogene, with no coding region annotated. The transcript has a single exon. The record is from RefSeq and is a predicted model, not a curated record. NCBI's taxonomy places the organism in Eukaryota, Metazoa, Chordata, Mammalia, Primates, Cebidae.
ACUUACAGUCAUGGUGGCAGGAAGGAAAACUGAAUGCAGGAGGAACUACCAGACACAUAAAACCAUCAGGUCUCAUGAGAACUCAGGCACUAUCACCAGAAUGGCGUAGGGGAAACUGCCCCCAUCAUUCAGUUACCUCCACUUGGUCUCUCCCUUGAUACAUGGGGAUUAUGGGAGUUACAAUUCAAGUGAGAUUUUGGACGGGGACACGGCCAAACCAUAUCACUGUCUUUCUUGAUCCUCCUCUUCCUUGACUGGUUACACUUCUUCACCAUCCUCUGUGAGUCCCAUCAUCACCUGAUCUCUGAACAUUCGGGCCCCACAUGGCCCAGCCCCAGGCUUUGUGCUCUUCCUCUAAACUCAGCCCCAAGGCAAUCUAUACACCAUCUGCAGGGCGAUGAUACUCCGACCCCUAUCUCCAUGGACUUCUCCCCUGAGCUCCAUGUCAUGCAUCCCUGUGUCUGGGAGGCCGUCCACCUGCACAUCAGUGAACCCAUGCUUUGUGCACCGCACAGUGCCUAUUGAAGAGCUGUGACUUGGAAGAUUCCCAGGGUUGGACUCCGAAAUGGAAGCACAGAGCGCCAGGGCAGAGGAGGGCUUUACCCAGGUCACCCGCAAGGGUGGCCGGCGGGCUAAGAAACGACAGGCUGAACAGCUGUCCGCAGCAGGAGAGGGCAGGGAUGCGGGCCUUAUGGACACAGAGGAGGCCAGGCCGACGAAGAUGCCCGUCUUCCCACCCCUCUGUGGUGACAUGCUCCUGAGUGGGAAAGAAGAAACAAGGAAGAUUCCAGUCCCGGCUAACAGAUGCACACCAUCAAAAGAAACUGGAUGAAGAUAUUUACUCCUAUUGUGGAACAUUUGGGUCUUCAGAUAAGCUUUAACUCGAAAUCAAGGAAUGUAGAAAUCGGGACUUGUAAAGAAACCAAUGAUGGUAGUGCUCUGGCAAAAGCAGCUGAUUUUGUGAAAGCCUUUAUUUUCAGCUUUCAGGUGGAGGGUGCACUUGCCCUCAUCAGGUUGGAUGACUUCUUCCUAGAGUGUUUUGAAAUCACAGAUGUUAAACCCUUAAAGGGAGACCAUCUCUCCAAGGCAAUAGGAAGAAUCGCUGGCAAAGGAGGAAAAACCAAAUUCACCAUAGAAAAUGUGACACAGAAAAAAAAAAAAAAAAAAAAAAAAAAAGAAAAUGUGACACAGACGUGGACAGUUUUGGCUGAUGUGAGAGUUCACAUCCUUGGCUCCUUCCAAAACAUCAAGAUGGCAAGAACUGCCAUUUGUAACCUAAUCUUGGGAAAUCGUCCUUCCAAGGUUUAUGGCAAUACUCGAGCUGUGGCUAGCAGAUCAGCAGAUCAACUCUGAUUUCAAGUCAGAGACUUUUUAUCUUGCCCUUGGACUCUGGAAAAAAAAUAUUUUACGAGCGGUCACAAUAAAUCAUCUGAAGAAUUGCAGUCAUUUGAAGCUUCCAUCCCUUCUUCCGUUCUCAGCCAGAAGCACAAACAGAAAAGAAAGGUUUAAGAGUAUUCACACUCAGCAGGUUUUAGGAUAAUUUAAAUAUCAAAAAUUGAUUCUAUUAUUAUACCUACACAUUAGAUAUAAUUUAUCAUUUCUUUGAAAUCACAUGUAGCAGAUUGCAUAGUUUAUAAUCCUCUCAGAGGGAAACUUCUUAUUUAAACAGCUCUAUGUGAAUUUAUACUUUUAUAUUUAGAAAUUCAUAACUUCAUAAAAAUUUAUAAACAUUUCUUUAUAAA